Molecule: ribosomal RNA, 253 nt
Filed under: uncultured bacterium
Lineage: Bacteria
Description: partial 16S ribosomal RNA
Rfam family: Bacterial small subunit ribosomal RNA
Source: RNAcentral
UACGUAGGGGGCAAGCGUUGUCCGGAAUUACUGGGCGUAAAGCGUGCGCAGGCGGUUUUGUAAGCCAGAUGUGAAAUCCCCGGGCUCAACCUGGGAAUGGCAUUUGGGACUGCAAGGCUCGAGUGCGGCAGAGGAGACUGGAAUUCCUGGUGUAGCAGUGAAAUGCGUAGAUAUCAGGAGGAACACCGAUGGCGAAGGCAGGUCUCUGGGCUGACACUGACGCUCAUGCACGAAAGCGUGGGGAGCAAACAGG